UCCUAGCACAUGAAAAUCUAGCCUAACAUAAUUGGAAAUAAAGAAAAACAACAAUUAAAACCAAGGAAGAACAUCACUCGAUUGAUUCUUGAAGUGAAAUCUUGAAUCUUGAAGUGGAUUGCCUUGUUUUUGCCUUGUUCUUCCUCUCCAAAUCCUCCAAAAUUGUGUUUUUGUGCCUCCAAUUACGUUCUCCCCCUCUUCUGGACGUUCUUUCGUAUUUAAAUCGCGUGGAAAUUAGGUUACCAAAGGAGUUUCAAUCGUAUAAGGAAACUGCAAAACGGCCCCCAGAUUAUACCUAUGCGACCGCAUAGUACAUUUCUAUGCUGUCGCAUAGAGUAAAAAAAUUUGAGAAAAAGUUCUCGGGAGGCUUCUAUGCGACCGCAUAGAAUUUAUACUAUGCGACCGCAUAGUUAUACAAUUCUUUCCGCUGGACAGC
This 436-nucleotide long non-coding RNA is filed under the name Olea europaea (common olive). Its description in RNAcentral is "long non-coding RNA (OEUR_LNC006638)". The record is from RNAcentral. Lineage: Eukaryota; Viridiplantae; Streptophyta; Magnoliopsida; Lamiales; Oleaceae.